GUGGCAGGCAGCGCUGCUCCGAGCUCUGACUCAGCCGGGCAGCCCAGCCCUAACUGCUGUUGACACGUGAUAACACGUGUUUGUUUAGCUGGAGCCACUCACCCAAGGGGUUAAUGUUCAACUCCCCCGUCCCCCGGAGCCGUGGCAGGUUGCUGGGUGGCGAGACCCUCGCCAGCCGGGCUGUGCUUCCUCCCCAGACAGCGAUGCUGACCGCUUCCACUGUGGGCAGGAAGAGAAAGCGUGAUAGGCCGGGGCCGAGCAGGAGGCAAGAGAGCACCGGCCCCCUCGCUGCCACCAAGAGAAGGAGGAAGAGGCAUGAGGUGGAGGGCUGCCCAGUGGGAGGUCCUGUCUCAGGCACGGUGCAGCCAGGAAAACAGGAUUUCAAGCAGAGAAGGAUUGAAUCCGGGCUCUUAGGCGCUUCUAGAACCCCUGAAAGAGCUGGAAGAGUGAAGAGCAGGCAGCACCCCCCGCCCCGACCUUGGUGUUUGGAAAUCAGGAAGUGCCGGAAUUGCAGGCGCCCCUGCACCACAACUGGGUAACCUGAAUCGGUGUCUGCUGCGUCAAGAGAUUUUCACAUAUUGAGUACAUGGGGUAACUAUUCGGGUUCAAACUGAUUCGGCUUGAACUGAGAAGGCUGACUUAAGGACUAUUCAAAGUACCCUGUAUUCUGCUUUAACCGUUAAAGUAUGCACUCCUUUGAGAUAAGAAUGUGUACUUCCCCUCCUACGCCCGAUUGGUGACGCCCGAUUGGUAACACCCGUGUUAGUCCCUUUCCUGACAUCAGGGUCAUGUUGACCUGCAAUUUGCAACUAAAUUCCUCCUUGAAACUUUGAAAAUGUAUCUUGGGUGUGUUGUUGUUGUUGUUGUUGGUGG
RNAcentral lists this long non-coding RNA (873 nucleotides) under Equus caballus (horse). RNAcentral's name for it is "lncRNA (ENSECAG00000056972.1)". The record is from RNAcentral. Lineage: Eukaryota; Metazoa; Chordata; Mammalia; Perissodactyla; Equidae.